GACGAACGCUGGCGGCGUGCUUAACACAUGCAAGUCGAACGGUGAAGCGCCUUCCUUUUUGGUGGGUGUGGAUGAGUGGCGAACGGGUGAGUAACACGUGAGUAACCUGCCCCCUUCUUCUGGAUAACCGCAUGAAAGUGUGGCUAAUACGGGAUAUUCUGGGUCUGUCGCAUGAUGGGUCUGGGAAAGAUAUUGUUUCGGUGGGGGAUGGGCUCGCGGCCUAUCAGCUUGUUGGUGGGGUGAUGGCCUACCAAGGCGGUGACGGGUAGCCGGCCUGAGGGGGUGGCCGGCAAGAUGGGGACGGGGACCCGGCCCAGAUUCCGAGGGGGGGGGGCAGGGGGGAAUAUGGCACAAGGGGGGAAAGCCGGAUGGAGGGGCGCCGGGGGAGGGAUGGGGGCCUUCGGGUUGUGACCCUCUUUCGCCAGGGAAGCAGGCCUGCUUCUGUGGUGGGGGGGUUGACGGUGGCUGGAAAAGGAGCGCCGGCUAACUACGU
Molecule: ribosomal RNA, 493 nt
Filed under: uncultured bacterium
Lineage: Bacteria
Description: partial 16S ribosomal RNA
Rfam family: Bacterial small subunit ribosomal RNA
Source: RNAcentral